UUCAGAGAUUAGGGAGAAAAUCGGAAGAGGGAGAGAAGGAGAGUGAAAGAGCUUCGCUCCAUAAUGGAGAUUCAAUCUUCUGAGUGAGGGUUUUAGGGUCGAGCGAUAGAGAUUGGAGAGAGAUUUUCUUUCUCUUUUCUUUCUUGUUCUGUUCGGUUAGCAGAAGGGAGCAAAUCUGAGAGGGAACCUUCAUGGCUUCCUUGAUUUGAAGUCGGCUCCUCCAUUCUAUUCUCCUGCAACCUCCUCCGAUCUCAAUGCUCGGCUAGAUUGAAGAACGAUCAGAGGCAUGGUGGCAGUUCUUGAGGCUUGCUUCACUCUACGGUUCUGGUUGGAGCAGUAGAUCAUUCCAGAAUCAGGAGUCCUCUGAUCCCUCAGGCGCAUUUGCUGAAAUGCUUUUCCCGAUCCAGUCUUGGUUUGUCUGCAAAUCUUUAGGGCUUGGAAGAUAUCUAGGAGUAGCGACCAGUGGUGAAUUGAGUUCAACAACGACAACUUUAAUGGAGGCAGUUGCAACCUGAGCGAGAUAGGGCCAACCGACCAAGAGGCUCCUGCGACCUGUGCAAGGUAGUGGCAACUGAUCAAGAGGCUCCCGUGAUCUGUACGAGGUAGUGGCAACCGAUCAGAGUCACCGCGGGUAGUGGCAACCGACCAGAAGUCGCCGCGAGUAGUGGCAACUGACUAGAGGCAGUCGCAACCUGAGUGAGGCAUUUGCUACACACCUGAAGCGAUUGAAGCUUGCUGGGAUUUUUUUUUAUUUAUUUUUUUAAAUAGGUUUCCCAUAUCCCCUUAUGUGUUGCUUGCUUAAGGUUUGUUAGACUGAAACAAUGCCCGUUCAUUCUCUGCAGAACUAGUACAUUUUGAUUCAUUGAAGUUUCUGCCAUCUUAUAAUGGGCUUAUGGUGUUAAUUUUCAGUUUUUGUUCAUUGUAAUUCUGAUGCUCUGUAUUUCUUCACUUAAUUUUUCAUUUUAAUUCUUCUUAUAUUUACUUCGACUACUGACUUUGGGGAGUGUGUUUUGUUGUUGUGUAAAUUUGGCAACUUAAUGUCUACAUCAAGUGUUAAUUGCAGCAAUGCUAAUCUACCGAAGUAUAGAAGCAUAAAAUGUAGAUGCAAUCGAAAAACUGCAUUAGGAUCUCCGAGACGGUCGAUAAUCCAAGCUGACUCUUUUACACAUGUUCUGAUUUUAAUGGUUGUAACUAUUUCGAAUGGUGUGAUCUACCAACAACUGAGCCCCCAGCCAUAAAAUUUUGAAGAGUUGCAUGAGGAAGUACAUGGACUGCAAACUGAUGUACAGGCUUUGCGAGAAGAGGCAUGGGGAAUUGCAAUAGAUGUCUAGGAGGUUGCAAGAGGAAUCGGGAACUAGGAAUGUUAGCUUGGAACAAAUAGAAAGCAUUGUUGGAUCAAUGAAGCAUGUUUGUCAGUUUGUAUUAGUGUUCUUUCUGGUGUAUUUCUAGCAUGUUUUAUGAGCAUGAAGUUUUGAAAACCUUUAGUACAUUUGGACAGAUGUAAUCUAGUUUCUCUAUCAGUAAUGAAAUGGUUUUCCACCUGUAA
This is a long non-coding RNA of Macadamia integrifolia, 1546 nucleotides long. RefSeq lists it as uncharacterized. The record is from RefSeq and is a predicted model, not a curated record. The transcript is spliced from 2 exons. NCBI's taxonomy places the organism in Eukaryota, Viridiplantae, Streptophyta, Magnoliopsida, Proteales, Proteaceae.